RNAcentral lists this ribosomal RNA (105 nucleotides) under bacterium. The record is from RNAcentral.
AGCUAUAGCAUCAGGGUUCCACCUCUUCCCAUUCCGAACAGAGAAGUUAAGCCUGAUCACGCCGAUGGUACUGCGUAACAGUGGGAGAGUAGGUAGCUGCCGUUU